RNAcentral lists this ribosomal RNA (254 nucleotides) under uncultured bacterium. Its description in RNAcentral is "partial 16S ribosomal RNA". It matches the Rfam family "Bacterial small subunit ribosomal RNA", at positions 524 to 776 of the family's 1533-position model. The record is from RNAcentral.
UACGAAGGUCCCGAGCGUUGUUCGGAAUCACUGGGCGUAAAGGGAGCGUAGGCGGCGUGGUAAGUCAGAUGUGAAAUCCCGGGGCUCAACCCCGGAACUGCAUCCGAUACUGCCGUGCUUAGAGGGUUGGAGAGGUAGCUGGAAUUCUUGGUGUAGCAGUGAAAUGCGUGGAUAUCGAGAGGAACACUCGUGGCGAAAGCGAGUUACUGGACAAUUACUGACGCUGAGGCUCGAAGGCUAGGGGAGCAAAAGGG